Nicotiana tabacum (common tobacco) is the source of this 646-nucleotide long non-coding RNA. RefSeq lists it as uncharacterized. The record is from RefSeq and is a predicted model, not a curated record. Lineage: Eukaryota; Viridiplantae; Streptophyta; Magnoliopsida; Solanales; Solanaceae.
AAAAAAGAAAAAAAGAAAAGAAAAAAAGGAGAAGUGUUCACUGUUAAAACUGUCUCUGCCUUUAAUGGAACAAGACAAAUAAUAAAAGAGAAAGAACAAAUCUUUUUUCAAGAAGAGAGAGAGAGAGAUAGUGUGUGUGUGUGUGUGUGUGUGUGUUUUUAAGAUCUGUUUGAAUGCAUUUUCUCACUCUGUGUUUCUCCUUUUUUUUGUGAAAACACUUUGACCAGUUAGGGUUUGUUUGGACCAAAACUAACUUCUUUGGCCAUGGCAUUGCUACUGCAUUUUUCAGGAAGAUGGUUUUCCUCCCAACAAAGGUCAGAUAGAGAAGUAGGAGUUGAGCUUGCUUCAGAGGUUUUGAGCUGGUGGUUGACUGUUAAACCGGGUUGAACUUCCUUGUGAUUUUCUAGAUCAUGUGAACUAAUUAUAUUGUUAGUUAAUUAGGGAAUGAAGCCAUUGGUCCGCGAAGCAUAUCAAGCUUUGUAUCAUAUUGACAAUAGCAGUAAUGAUUCAUAGUGCAUGAAGUAUUUUUUGGCAUAUCAAAGCUACUCAGGUUUAUAUUAUCUAAGUUUUGAUCUGUUCCUAUUCAAACUUCAAUCGGGAUCUUAUGCUCAAUUAGCUUGGAGAUCUAUGAUCACUUGAUAUUUUA